UUCCGGCCGGCGACUAGUGCAUUAUCUCCGGCAACCAGAAUCGAAAUUGUUACCAGUAACAAUGAAGUCCAUAUCUCCAUUGUUCUCAGUUUCCACUGCCAAGUCUCCAAUUUUCUACUUCAGUCCUAUUUCCCAAAGACUUUCGUCUGUCAAAUUUGCAGCCCCACCGAAGAUAAAUUCACCAGAUACGAAAAGACCCAGUUCAAAAUCAGCUAAAACCCUCUCUGCAGCUCCUACAAUAGACCCAAUAACUACUACUGCCGCUUCCGCAUCUCCCAAAAAGGUUCUACUGCCAAUUGGGUUUGGCACAGAAGAAAUGGAAGCUGUAAUAUUGGCUGAUGUUCUGCGCCGGGCUGGUGCAGAGGUAACAGUGGCAUCAGUAGAGCAGCAGUUGGAGGUUGAAGCAUAUGGAGGCACUAGGCUAGUUGCUGAUACUUUCAUCUCUACUUGUUCCAAUGAAAUAUUUGAUCUUGUUGCAUUGCCGGGAGGAAUGCCAGGUUCUGCUCGUUUAAGAGACUGUGAAGUUCUCCAGAAGAUCACAAGCAGGCAAGCUGAGGAGAAGCGACUUUAUGGUGCCAUAUGUGCUGCUCCAGCAGUCACUCUUUUGCCUUGGGGUCUUCUCAAGAGGAAACAGACCACUUGUCAUCCUGCAUUUAUAGACAAAAUUUCUUCCUUCCGGGUGGUGAAAACUAACACACAAGUCUCUGGAGAGCUAACAACAAGUCGUGGUCCUGGCACUUCAUUUGAGUUUGCCAUAUGUUUAGUGGAGCAGCUGUUUGGCGAGCCUGUUGCCAGAGAAAUUGGAGAACUCUUGUUGAUGAAUCCUGCAGGUGAUGACCCAAAGAGACAAGAAUUCAAUGAAGUUGGAUGGUCUCUUGAUCGCACCCCCCAAGUUCUAAUUCCAAUAGCCAACGGGUCUGAAGAAAUUGAAGUGGUUACCUUGAUAGACAUUCUAAGACGAGCAAAGGUGAAUGUUGUGGUGGCUUCAGUGGAAAAAUCAGCACAGGUUUUGGCAUCAAGUGGAACAAAAAUUGUUGCAGACAAGUUGAUAAAUGCUACUUCUGACUCCAUAUUUGACUUGAUUAUCCUCCCGGGAGGAGCUGCCGGGGCUGAACGGCUGCACAAGUCAAAAAUUCUCAAGAAGUUGCUUAAGGAACAAGAGUCAGCUGGAAGAAUAUUUGGUGCAAUCUGCUCUUCACCUGCAGUCUUGCAGAAACAGGGGUUAAUAAAGGACAAGAAAGCCACUGCACAUCCUGCUGUCUUAGACAAGCUCAAAGACGGGGUAAAUGAUGCUCAGGUAGUUAUCGACGGUAAACUCAUCACAUGCCAGGGACUUGCUACAGCGAUACAGUUUGCACUGGCUAUUGUGAGCAAGCUUUUCGGGCAUGCAAGGGCAAGGAGUGUAGCAGAAGGUCUUGUCUAUCAGUACCCUAGGAGCUAGAAAUGCCAGUCCUGAAACCUUCAGAGUGCCCAAGUAUGUUAUAGGGGCAACUCAUAUCGAUGGAUUACAUACAUACUUCACCGGCAAUUACAAGAAAGGCAACUUUCUUGUCCUUGAUGACUUGGUAGCAGAUAUAACAAGCUCGAGAGGAGAUUUUCCUAAGUCUGCCAAAACCAAAGGAUUAGUCCUAACCUACUAUACAGAGUUCCUACUAGAUCUUUAACUGGGAAUAGGGCAUUUACUAUCACUCGGCCAGGUCGCACUGGAAAGAGUGAUGAUCAAAGUAAUGACGCCAGUUAUGGGCAAAUUGUUCUUCGCCUCAUCUCUGUCUCGUCUGGACACUAUAUAUUACCCCCAGCCCACAAGUUUCUUUUCUUUGUUUAGUUUGGCCUCCAGAAUCAUGAUUUUUGCCAUUUAGAGCAUACAGAAAGAGAAUUGCUGCUCUCGUGCGUUGAAUGGUGAUCUUGGUGUGUACUAAACAAUAGAUUACAUUAUGAAUUUGUUUUGUUUUUUCACUUCUCUGGUGAUCUUGCUGUGUACAAGGAAAUAAACAAUCCAGGAGGAAUGCUAGAGUACAAUUCAUUUUUGUUCAUGAGCAUUUUGGAGACGAGAUGAGUUGAUUGCAUUUAGUUGAAGCAAGCCUUGCAAGAGUAAAUAAGAAAGUAGAAUUGUUGGUUCAUAGA
RNA transcript from Solanum verrucosum, 2124 nucleotides. It is a transcript of the gene named protein DJ-1 homolog C, with no coding region annotated. Lineage: Eukaryota; Viridiplantae; Streptophyta; Magnoliopsida; Solanales; Solanaceae. The record is from RefSeq and is a predicted model, not a curated record. The transcript has 9 exons.